This 469-nucleotide ribosomal RNA is filed under the name uncultured bacterium. RNAcentral's name for it is "partial 16S ribosomal RNA". It matches the Rfam family "Bacterial small subunit ribosomal RNA", at positions 28 to 508 of the family's 1533-position model. The record is from RNAcentral.
GACGAACGCUGGCGGCGUGCUUAACACAUGCAAGUCGAACGGAAAGGCCCUGCUUUUGUGGGGUGCUCGAGUGGCGAACGGGUGAGUAACACGUGAGUAACCUGCCCUUGACUUUGGGAUAACUUCAGGAAACUGGGGCUAAUACCGGAUAGGAGCUCCUGCUGCAUGGUGGGGGUUGGAAAGUUUCGGCGGUUGGGGAUGGACUCGCGGCUUAUCAGCUUGUUGGUGGCGUAGUGGCUUACCAAGGCUUUGACGGGUAGCCGGCCUGAGAGGGUGACCGGCCACAUUGGGACUGAGAUACGGCCCAGACUCCUACGGGAGGCAGCAGUGGGGAAUAUUGCACAAUGGGCGGAAGCCUGAUGCAGCAACGCCGCGUGCGGGAUGACGGCCUUCGGGUUGUAAACCGCUUUCGCCUGUGACGAAGCGUGAGUGACGGUAAUGGGUAAAGAAGCACCGGCUAACUACGUGC